Molecule: ribosomal RNA, 1010 nt
Filed under: Microcera kuwanaspidis
Lineage: Eukaryota; Fungi; Ascomycota; Sordariomycetes; Hypocreales; Nectriaceae
Description: SSU rRNA
Rfam family: Eukaryotic small subunit ribosomal RNA
Source: RNAcentral
AACUGCGAAUGGCUCAUUAUAUAAGUUAUCGUUUAUUUGAUAGUACCUUACUACUUGGAUAACCGUGGUAAUUCUAGAGCUAAUACAUGCUAAAAAUCCCGACUUCGGAAGGGAUGUAUUUAUUAGAUUAAAAACCAAUGCCCUUCGGGGCUCCUUGGUGAUUCAUGAUAACUCCUCGAAUCGCAUGGCCUUGUGCCGGCGAUGGUUCAUUCAAAUUUCUUCCCUAUCAACUUUCGAUGUUUGGGUAUUGGCCAAACAUGGUUGCAACGGGUAACGGAGGGUUAGGGCUCGACCCCGGAGAAGGAGCCUGAGAAACGGCUACUACAUCCAAGGAAGGCAGCAGGCGCGCAAAUUACCCAAUCCCGACACGGGGAGGUAGUGACAAUAAAUACUGAUACAGGGCUCUUUUGGGUCUUGUAAUUGGAAUGAGUACAAUUUAAAUCCCUUAACGAGGAACAAUUGGAGGGCAAGUCUGGUGCCAGCAGCCGCGGUAAUUCCAGCUCCAAUAGCGUAUAUUAAAGUUGUUGUGGUUAAAAAGCUCGUAGUUGAACCUUGGGCCUGGCUGGCCGGUCCGCCUCACCGCGUGCACUGGUCCGGCCGGGCCUUUCCCUCUGUGGAACCCCAUGCCCUUCACUGGGCGUGGCGGGGAAACAGGACUUUUACUUUGAAAAAAUUAGAGUGCUCCAGGCAGGCCUAUGCUCGAAUACAUUAGCAUGGAAUAAUAGAAUAGGACGUACGGUUCUAUUUUGUUGGUUUCUAGGACCGCCGUAAUGAUUAAUAGGGACAGUCGGGGGCAUCAGUAUUCAAUUGUCAGAGGUGAAAUUCUUGGAUUUAUUGAAGACUAACUACUGCGAAAGCAUUUGCCAAGGAUGUUUUCAUUAAUCAGGAACGAAAGUUAGGGGAUCGAAGACGAUCAGAUACCGUCGUAGUCUUAACCAUAAACUAUGCCGACUAGGGAUCGGACGAUGUUAUUUUUUGACUCGUUCGGCACCUUACGAGAAAUCAAAGUG